Molecule: transfer RNA, 63 nt
Filed under: Ruminococcus sp. CAG:57
Lineage: Bacteria; Bacillati; Bacillota; Clostridia; Eubacteriales; Oscillospiraceae
Rfam family: tRNA
About the family: Transfer RNA (tRNA) molecules are approximately 80 nucleotides in length. Their secondary structure includes four short double-helical elements and three loops (D, anti-codon, and T loops). Further hydrogen bonds mediate the characteristic L-shaped molecular structure. tRNAs have two regions of fundamental functional importance: the anti-codon, which is responsible for specific mRNA codon recognition, and the 3' end, to which the tRNAs corresponding amino acid is attached (by aminoacyl-tRNA synthetases). tRNAs cope with the degeneracy of the genetic code in two manners: having more than one tRNA (with a specific anti-codon) for a particular amino acid; and 'wobble' base-pairing, i.e. permitting non-standard base-pairing at the 3rd anti-codon position.
Source: Rfam by way of RNAcentral
GCCGUAUAGCUUAAUAGCAGAGCGUUGUUUAUUCAAAGGUGUCGGUGCAAAUCCGACUAGGCA